UCCAAGCCCUCAAGAGGGAGGCAAAGAAGAGUUCAGUGUGACCAAAGUCCAGACUACGUGCAAACCUGCAGCCAGGCCCUUCUCCCAGGCCUUGUCAGCGCAGAGGCCAGGGGCAGCUGCAAAGGGAAGCGGAGCCGGCUGGGGCAGAAGCGGGGUCCUGCAGCGCACAGCAAGCCCGCUGCCCAGCCUGCACGAGCGGUCGAAAGACACCUGCAACAUGAGACUGCGGCAUUUACAUCUUGCUCCUGCCCUGCUGUCAGAACUGCUGGUGAAACGCCCACCACCAACACGCGGCUGCCACAGACCGUGCCCACCUGUAUGCUUCUGGUGGUGAUGGCUCUGCAUGGCUUCACCCAGCAACUCUGCUACUGAAGUAUGAAGUGCACUUGGUGGGGGCACCUGCUGCUGAAUGAGCUGUGGCAGGCAAUUCUAGAGGGACGCUAGGAGCUGAUGCUCUGAAACAAGAGUGGAGCCUUGAAGGGAUGGAAGAUGGUCCGUGGAGGAUAUGUAUUGUGCUACAUCAUCUGCUUCGACUACUGAUGAACUGAACAGGGAUAGAUUUUAGGGGGAGAUGAUUGGAGAGUCCAGUAACAACACACCAACACCACCACCACCACCACAGAGGACUUGGGUCAUCCUGGAAUAGUGACAACUCCUAGUCUCUUUAUCCAUUUCAGUAAGGCUCUCCUUGCCAAAUAGUCCUGUCCCUGAGUGCAGAUGCACAAAUCUCUGCAGAUUAAUACAAUUCAUCCAGUUUUUGGCUUUGGAUAGAAGCUGAAAAUCACCCUCCAUUGAGUGGAGAAGCAAUAAACAAAAAUGGAAAAAAUA
This is a long non-coding RNA of Alligator mississippiensis (American alligator), 828 nucleotides long. RefSeq lists it as uncharacterized. The record is from RefSeq and is a predicted model, not a curated record. NCBI's taxonomy places the organism in Eukaryota, Metazoa, Chordata, Crocodylia, Alligatoridae. The transcript has 3 exons.